AACGAACGCUGGCGGCAGGCUUAACACAUGCAAGUCGAACGCACCGCCAGGGGGGUGGCAGCCGGGUGAGUAACGCGUGGGAACAUACCCUUUUCUACGGAAUAGCUCUGGGAAACUGGAAUUAAUACCGUAUACGCCCUACGGGGGAAAGAUUUAUCGGGGAAGGAUUGGCCCGCGUUGGAUUAGCUAGUUGGUGGGGUAAAGGCCUACCAAGGCGACGAUCCAUAGCUGGUCAGAGAGGAUGAUCAGCCACAUUGGGACUGAGACACGGCCCAAACUCCUACGGGAGGCAGCAGUGGGGAAUAUUGGACAAUGGGCGCAAGCCUGAUCCAGCCAUGCCGCGUGAGUGAUGAAGGCCUUAGGGUUGUAAAGCUCUUUCACCGAUGAAGAUAAUGACGGUAGUCGGAGAAGAAGCCCCGGCUAACUUCGUG
Molecule: ribosomal RNA, 431 nt
Filed under: uncultured bacterium
Lineage: Bacteria
Description: partial 16S ribosomal RNA
Rfam family: Bacterial small subunit ribosomal RNA
Source: RNAcentral